CAGCAGCCGCGGUAAUACGAAGGGUGCAAGCGUUACUCGGAAUUACUGGGCGUAAAGCGUGCGUAGGUGGUGGUUUAAGUCCGUUGUGAAAGCCCUGGGCUCAACCUGGGAAUUGCAGUGGAUACUGGGUCACUAGAGUGUGGUAGAGGAUAGUGGAAUUUCCGGUGUAGCAGUGAAAUGCGUAGAGAUCGGAAGGAACAUCUGUGGCGAAGGCGACUAUCUGGGCCAACACUGACACUGAGGCACGAAAGCGUGGGGAGCAAACAGGAUUAGAUACCCCAGUAGUCCCUGUCUCUUAUAU
This 301-nucleotide ribosomal RNA is filed under the name uncultured bacterium. RNAcentral describes it as "partial 16S ribosomal RNA". It matches the Rfam family "Bacterial small subunit ribosomal RNA", at positions 509 to 809 of the family's 1533-position model. The record is from RNAcentral.